UACGUAGGUGGCAAGCGUUGUUCGGAAUUAUUGGGCGUAAAGGGCGCGUAGGCGGUUUGUUAAGUCGGUCGUGAAAGCCCGGGGCUCAACCCCGGAGGGUCGACCGAUACUGGCAGACUAGAGUACAGAAGAGGUAACUGGAAUUCCCGGUGUAGCGGUUAAAUGCGUAGAUAUCGGGAGGAACACCAGAGGCGAAGGCGGGUUACUGGGCUGAUACUGACGCUGAUGCGCGAAAGCCAGGGGAGCAAACGGG
This 253-nucleotide ribosomal RNA is filed under the name uncultured bacterium. RNAcentral's name for it is "partial 16S ribosomal RNA". It matches the Rfam family "Bacterial small subunit ribosomal RNA", at positions 524 to 776 of the family's 1533-position model. The record is from RNAcentral.